This 336-nucleotide unclassified non-coding RNA is filed under the name soil metagenome. RNAcentral describes it as "partial contains 5.8S ribosomal RNA, internal transcribed spacer 2, and large subunit ribosomal RNA". The stretch from base 1 to 120 matches the Rfam family "5.8S ribosomal RNA", at positions 35 to 154 of the family's 154-position model. The record is from RNAcentral.
GAUGAAGAACGUAGCGAAAUGCGAUAAGUAGUGUGAAUUGCAGAAUUCAGUGAAUCAUCGAAUCUUUGAACGCACAUUUCGCCCCUUGGUAUUCCAUGGGGCAUGCCUGUUCGAGCGUCAUUUGUACCUUCAAGCUUUGCUUGGUGUUGGGUGUUUGUCUCGCCUUUGCGUGUAGACUCGCCUUAAAAUAAUUGGCAGCCGGCGUAUUGAUUUCGGAGCGCAGUACAUCUCGCGCUUUGCACUCAUAACGACAGCGUCCAAAAGUACAUUUUACACUCUUGACCUCGGAUCAGGUAGGGAUACCCGCUGAACUUAAGCAUAUCAAUAAGCGGAGGA